Molecule: ribosomal RNA, 331 nt
Filed under: uncultured bacterium
Lineage: Bacteria
Description: bacterial SSU rRNA
Rfam family: Bacterial small subunit ribosomal RNA
Source: RNAcentral
AACGAACGCUGGCGGCAUGCCUAACACAUGCAAGUUGAACGAGACCUUCGGGUCUAGUGGCGCACGGGUGCGUAACGCGUGGGAACCUGCCUUUAGGUUCGGAAUAACUCAGAGAAAUUUGAGCUAAUACCGGAUAAUGUCUUCGGACCAAAGAUUUAUCGCCUUUAGAUGGGCCCGCGUAAGAUUAGCUAGUUGGUGGGUAAAGGCCUACCAAGGCGACGAUCGUUUAGCUGGUCUGAGAGGAUGAUCAGCCACACUGGGACUGAGACACGGCCCAGACUCCUACGGAGGCAGCAGUGGGGAAUAUUGGGACAAUGGGCGAAAGCCGUAG